UUGUCCGCGAAUCCAUGCCAAGAACAGUUAUGAGUGGACGGUGCUCGCGGCGAAAAAAUACCUCGGUCCUGCGAUCGCGAUUCGCGGUGAAAGAUGGUGGCUGUCGAGACGUGGAUACAACGGUGAUCAUAUAAAUUCAGGUCUAAAUUUGAAUCCAAGAGCGAGGACCUUCUGCGUGAAGUUUCUUACGAUUCGAUCAUUUAAGAAGAUGCAUCGUUGGAUUAAAAAUUUCGGUGUUCCUCGCGAAAGAAUUGAAACGAGUUAUCCGGAGAUACCGAAUUGCUCAAUGUCUGUCUGAUGUCUAAUUGCCUCUAAUCUGUUGAUUGUCUAACAGCGAAAUUUCUGAAGAAAUUGAAAAUCCAACAAAUCGAGCGAUUUCGUUAUUCGAGAGUUCGUGCAACUUGAACACAAUAUUAUUCGCGGAUUUUUUUCUUUUCGUUAGAAAGUGGCGUUUUGAGAAGAUUACCUUGAAGAUGAAAUUCCCCAUGACUUCCCGAAGGGCCUCCACUUUCGGCUGUCACUGCUAGCCGAUAUGAGGCCAUAUUUACACGCGGGUUCACAGAACCCCACGUAGCGAACUUUCUUUCUUUCUCCCCGCCUAUAUAUCCUCACCCCUGACACGUUUAUUUCCGACGACACGGCGCAUCUUUCGUUUAUCAUUUACCCCAUUCGCGGUCUUGUGUAUUUUUUCUUCGAUUUCUCGUUUAUAAGCGUCUUCCUUUCGUUCCACCCCUCUUGCCCCGAGAGAAGAAAGAAAGCUCACAGUGGAAAGGCUUAUUUUCACCUUUUUAUAGCCUCGAGCUAGUUUGAUCGAAGAUUGCAAGAUCGUUCGAUUAAAAAGUUCGUAUCAGAUAUACAGAUAUGGCCAACACUCGUCUCAAUUAUUAAUGUGAAACCUCUCUCGAUUCACUCUCUCGAGUUUACCCACUUUUUGCUCUAAUAAAGUCGCCCAGGUUUUAUCUGGAAAUUUUCACCGUAAGCUCUAAUCCGAACAAGGAGAGAAAAUCGAACGAAGACGAACGAUAAAUUCGUCCUACUCGAUUAAAUCCAUAAAUGCAAUUAGUAAGACUCAUCCGAUUUCUGCGUUUAAUUAAGACAUCAGUCUGUUGCGUCUUGCUUCUGAUUUGAUUAAGUACGUGAAAACAUACCGCGUUAGAACGACGGACAAACAUUUUACGGACAACAGAUGCAUUUAGAAAGUAGAAUAUGUAAAUCAAGCACUAAUCUAACAAGCUAACCAUUAUGGAUUAGGUGUAGCUACUCUAUAGCUCGUGUUAUGCGCUUCUUCCUUCAGAGAAUACGUCACUAAUUCCAUGAAUAUUGAUGGUGCUUUUUUAGUGCGUCUUGGUUUCUGUGGAAAUUACAUAAUUGUUUACAUUGCAUAUGGAUUACACUUCUUAAUGCAUCGUUAUCCAAUUGCAUAGCAAUGGCUAUGAUAAUAAGAUAACUGAAAUACGGUAAUAAACGAUUAAAGGGCGCAGAAAAAAACCAAUCGAAGGAACAAAGAAUCAUCGCCGCGUCAAUCAAGGAGAAAUUGUGUUAAGAACAAAUCAAUCUCAUUCAUAGUUCGAUCUAGAAAAAAAAAAAAGAAAAAAAUAUGAAAAUAAUCUUGCUCGAAACUGAGAGAUGAUAAAUCAUAACAUGAUAAUCUGAUAACCAUGAAUAACAACGUAUAAUAUCUGACGAAGACUGAUAUACGCAACGUGGUGAUUAUCGUUUAACGACUGAUUACAUUUUUGGAUGUCAAUCAAAAUUCUUUGAAAAUAAAUUGACAAGAUCAACGACUUGACAUAGAAAAAUAAAAUGCGACGCUAACAAUUGAAUUUGGGUCGGUUCACACUUCACACGCGAAACCUGUAAACCUUCGGAAGCAUGUAUGUACUUAAUUUAUCUUUAAUCUUGAGAGGUUUGUGGCAUUCUAGAUAUUUACUACAUUGUUAACCAGCACAAAUAUGCUUCUGUUUAUACGCACAUCGGUUUACACAAUUAUUAAUCCUAAAACUAAAGAGUAAUAAACAACAAUUUGAAUAAUUUCUUGCAAA
This is a long non-coding RNA of Bombus pyrosoma, 2042 nucleotides long. RefSeq lists it as uncharacterized. The record is from RefSeq and is a predicted model, not a curated record. Lineage: Eukaryota; Metazoa; Arthropoda; Insecta; Hymenoptera; Apidae. The transcript is spliced from 4 exons.